This 273-nucleotide ribosomal RNA is filed under the name uncultured bacterium. RNAcentral's name for it is "partial 16S ribosomal RNA". It matches the Rfam family "Bacterial small subunit ribosomal RNA", at positions 523 to 796 of the family's 1533-position model. The record is from RNAcentral.
AUACGGAGGGUGCGAGCGUUAAUCGGAAUUACUGGGCGUAAAGCGUACGUAGGCGGUUGGUUAAGUUAGAUGUGAAAGCCCCGGGCUUAACCUGGGAACUGCAUUUAAAACUGGCGAACUAGAGUUGAGUAGAGGGGAGUGGAAUUUCAGGUGUAGCGGUGAAAUGCGUAGAGAUCUGAAGGAACACCAGUGGCGAAGGCGACUCCCUGGACUCGAACUGACGCUGAGGUACGAAAGCGUGGGUAGCAAACGGGAUUAGAAACCCUGUAGUCC